This 433-nucleotide ribosomal RNA is filed under the name uncultured bacterium. RNAcentral describes it as "partial 16S ribosomal RNA". It matches the Rfam family "Bacterial small subunit ribosomal RNA", at positions 29 to 507 of the family's 1533-position model. The record is from RNAcentral.
AACGAACGCUGGCGGCAUGCCUAACACAUGCAAGUCGAACGAGACCUUCGGGUCUAGUGGCGCACGGGUGCGUAACGCGUGGGAACCUGCCCUUAGGCUCGGAAUAACUCCCCGAAAGGGGUGCUAAUACCGGAUAAUGUCUUCGGACCAAAGAUUUAUCGCCUUUGGAUGGGCCCGCGUUGGAUUAGCUAGUUGGUAGGGUAAAAGCCUACCAAGGCGACGAUGCAUAGCUGGUCUGAGAGGAUGAUCAGCCACACUGGGACUGAGACACGGCCCAGACUCCUACGGGAGGCAGCAGUGGGGAAUAUUGGACAAUGGGCGAAAGCCUGAUCCAGCAAUGCCGCGUGAGUGAUGAAGGCCUUAGGGUUGUAAAGCUCUUUUACCCGGGAUGAUAAUGACAGUACCGGGAGAAUAAGCUCCGGCUAACUCCGUG